RNAcentral lists this ribosomal RNA (285 nucleotides) under uncultured methanogenic archaeon. Its description in RNAcentral is "partial 16S ribosomal RNA". It matches the Rfam family "Archaeal small subunit ribosomal RNA", at positions 321 to 608 of the family's 1478-position model. Lineage: Archaea; Methanobacteriati; Methanobacteriota. The record is from RNAcentral.
CCCUACGGGGCGCAGCAGGCGCGAAAACUUUACAAUGCUGGCAACAGCGAUAAGGAAACCUCGAGUGCCAGGCUGCAAUCUCGGGUGUCUCAAUGCCUAAAAACCAUGUGUAGCAAGGGCCGGGCAAGACCGGUGCCAGCCGCCGCGGUAACACCGGCGGCUCGAGUGGUAACCGCUAUUAUUGGGUCUAAAGGGUCUGUAGCCGGCCGGAUAAGUCUCUUGGGAAAUCCAGCUGCUCAACAGUUGGGCUUUCAGGAGAUACUGUCAGUCUUGGACCGGGAGAGU